RNAcentral lists this long non-coding RNA (261 nucleotides) under Lathyrus oleraceus (garden pea). RNAcentral's name for it is "Pisum sativum (pea) long non-coding RNA (PSAT_LNC010220)". Lineage: Eukaryota; Viridiplantae; Streptophyta; Magnoliopsida; Fabales; Fabaceae. The record is from RNAcentral.
AUCAACGUUUUCAAAAACUAAAAGCUUUCAAAAACCAACAUCAUUCAUCAUCAAUAUACAAUACACCUGGUCAUUUAAAAUAACACAUUUCAAUUAUCAUGAAUAUUCAGGAACAUGCGUUCGCAGCGGAAAAUAAUGAAUACUCAUGUAUUUCAUAAAAUGAUUCAUGUCCCAUACCAUGAUCAUCUCUCAAUAAUCUCCUCAAGAUAACUAAAAACCAUAUCCAGAAUAUUUGGCACUAUGGCCUCUCAAACAGCAAAU